AAACUAGAUGAAGACUUGAAUGCAUUUCCUUGCUGAGAAUGGAGCUCACUCUUCCUGGAUAUUGCACAGGCCAAAAACAGUAUCCUGAGACCUACUACGAUACUUACGAGGAGCAACACGGUUUAAGAAUAUUUAGGAAUACUUUUCAUCUGAGAUAUCAAAGAGAAAAAUGUUUGAUGUUGUGCAGAGAUCUUCCUGAACUUUGGACAGCAGAAUUCAGCCCCCUUUAGAUAUUGAAAAGCCGCUCUCAGGACUCCCUGCAGCCUUCUCUUCUCCAGGCUUAACAGCCUCAGCUCUCUCAGCCCAUCCUUGUUGGUGUUCCAUCCCUUGGAUCAUUUUUGUGGCCCUCCUCUGGACAUGUGUCAGAGAUGGCUUAUGGUGACCUCAUAGCUCUCUACUGAUAGUGAGAGACACAACUCUACAACAAGGGAAACAUGACUGGAUUAAGGAAAACAUUGCAGAGGGAGCGAGGUCAGAGGCCCACAGAGGUUCUGGAGCGUCCAUCCUCAGAGGAGUUCACAUUUCAUUUGGACACAUCCCUAUAACAUCCAGCAUAACUUUUUUACUGGCCCUGCUUUGAGCAGGGUUGCGCCAAAUGGACUCUUGAAGUCCCUUCCAGACUCUUAUGUCCACCAUCUUUUUUUCUUGGACAUCUUUGUGCUAGACAAUUUUUGGAAACAUUGUGAUUGAUGGCUUCGAUGAAUGGAUCCGUCUGGUCUGACAAAAGCUGAAAUGCCCUGAUCAAAUCCCAGAUCACCAGGUUCAGUGUAACAUAUACUUACAACAUCUUUUACUCACUACCAACCUGACACUUAGAGCUACAGCAGAAUGUAGAGCAGCCUGAAGGACCAAAAUGCAAUCUGGAUCUGCCUGAGAAGGUAUUCAGCUUUCUUCCAUUUCCAGUGGAGAAGCAUAAGCCUGCCUGAGCUGAAGGCUGGAGGAAUUUUAUCAUUGGUGGACUGAUGAUGGAAGACCAUAGAGGGUCCAAACUUGGAGUGUGUUUGUUUCAUUUUGACAGACAGAUCUGGCCCAUGCUUCAUGUUACUUAUGGGACUAGUGGAAGAUCAAUAAAUCCAUCUACAAAAGCGUUUCAGGAUUUUGCAUUAGCAUAACAUUUAGCACGCUGUUUUUUUGCAGCCUCACUCAUGGGCUGCCCUGCCACCUCUCCUAAGCAUUUUGCUGUUGCCUGAACUGCUCAAGAUUUUCUGAUUGCCCCUCUCUCUCUCUUUCAUUCACCAGGCAAAACAAAGGCAGCUUUUUAGAAAAAGUACACAGGUUAGAUAUUAGGAAUUUUUUUUUUCUCAGAAAGAGUAGUGAGGCAGUGGCACAGGCUGCCCAGGAAGGUGGUUGAGUCAUGAUCCCUGGAGGUGUUCAAGAGCUGUGGAGAUGUGGCACUGAAGGACAUGGCUGGUGAAUGUGGUGGGGAUGAGUUGGCAGUUGGACUAGGUGAUCUUAGAGGUUUUUCCAACCUUAAUGACUCUAAGAUCAUUUCCUUCUUCUGUCCCAUCAUUUCUGAGCACAUUUAUUCUGAAUAACUGGAGAAUGUAUUUUUAAAAAGCCUUUGCUUGAAGGGUACUUUGUAGUUCAACUUUCAGUAUUUUUCAAUUAUAAUUUUAACUGGAC
Molecule: long non-coding RNA, 1623 nt
Organism: Gallus gallus (chicken)
Lineage: Eukaryota; Metazoa; Chordata; Aves; Galliformes; Phasianidae
Source: Ensembl